This 74-nucleotide transfer RNA is filed under the name Bacteroidia bacterium. Its description in RNAcentral is "tRNA-Arg". It matches the Rfam family "tRNA". From Rfam's summary of the family: Transfer RNA (tRNA) molecules are approximately 80 nucleotides in length. Their secondary structure includes four short double-helical elements and three loops (D, anti-codon, and T loops). The record is from RNAcentral. Lineage: Bacteria; Pseudomonadati; Bacteroidota; Bacteroidia.
GGCCCUAUAGCUCAGCUGGAUAGAGCACCGGUUUUCUAAACCGUAGGUCUCAGGUUCGAGUCCUGAUGGGGCUA